UGAAUAUAUAGGAAACUAUUUAAUUUCCAUAUACUUAUAAUAGUUUCUCUCCGUAUAUAGACUAUAAAAAUGGAAUUAGUAACUUAAAAGAAUAUUUUAUUACAACAUAUUACAAUAUUACUGAUAUUAUAAAAGAUAUUUAAAAUUGUGGUACGCAAAAGUUAAUCAUAUACGUAUGUGUUUCAGAGCAAAAUUUUCGGGUUUGGUCUACUUUGAUUUUCAUUAAGUUGCUCUUUGUGCUGCAUUUGUUCGCUAUGGCUUGAGAUAAAGAAUGGGACUUAAUUCGCAGCAUUUGGAACUUGCUAAUUUAUUUAGUUUUUAUUCUCCUGUUUCAAAAUUAAUUUUUGGCCUUCUUCUAAGGUUUUCUAAGUAGUGGUUUAUCCUGAUGUAUUUUCGUUUUCUAACCAAUGCUUCUUUAUUUUGAAGCUUGGUUGAGGGCAAAAUUUAUGAUGUCUGGAUGUUUCAGAUAAUUGGCAAGCUGCAAGAUGACAAGAUCCAAGUCUGCUCAGUCAUAUUGAAGGGAAGUGUGCAGAAGUGCCUGAUGGUAACAAUUAAAGGAGCUAGCAGUGGGCAACAAUUACCGUUAUUACUGUAGCAGUGGGAUCCUUUGGCAUGAAUAUUUCUUUUCCAGCAGACAAGCCUUUUGGCAGAUUGUGAACUACCUGUCUCACCGCGAAUCACUUGUUCCACAAGGUGACUUAUUUUGGUGUACAUUUUGUUUGCUCUUUCCAUCAUUGCAUGUUAAGAAAAUUUACUUGCUGAUUAGGUUUGGACAAACAAGUACCUGAAAGCACUCUUUGUAGCAUAGUUAAUAAACAAAAUGCAACAAAUUAAGUUAAGUUGACUUCACUUUUAUUUCUAAGUUAUGUUAUGAAAAGGAAAAAAACUUUUGCUGCUGGACUAUCACUGUCUAGAUGAACAUCAAAUCACUGUUUUAGGGAGGUCUAAGACAAAAAUCUUCUUCUUUGUAUAGGUUAUGGUUUAGUUAGUAUCUGCUGGCUUGAUUGUGGCGCUGCUAUGUUGAUGUUGACUAAGUUAAAAGGUCUUUUGUCCUUAUGCAUGUUGAAAGCCCGAAAUGCCUUCUUUUCUCCUCAGGGAAUUAGAGAUGUAAAAUGGUUGCACGAACUUAAGAGAAGUGCAAAAAGGUUCCUUGAAUGAGAGUUAUAGAAACUAUACUAAUAAAAAGGAGAACUCUUUUCUUACAUAAUUAAUGCUUAAAUUUAUGGCUCACUGGACGUCUCUUUAACUAAAAUGACCUGACUAUUUUAAUGUUCAUCUGCAGUACUUGUUUCUAUUGACUGACACUACUGAAGUUCUACUGUUUUGUUUUGAGAGCAAUUAGACUCAUCCUCCAGAGGCUGCUUGGAAAACUCAGGUGUAAGGCUUUCAAUUACUCUGUUUAGUGAUUUUUAUAGAAUUUUCAUGAUAAAUUUAUUGUACAUUUUCUUAAAAUGCAUACCAUUUAUGUUGAUGGGAGCAAAGUGGCUAGAACAUCUUCGAAUGAAGCAGCCCACUGGUUUGAAUAUUCUUUUCUUUUUUUUGUUUGUUUUUGUUGAAGCCAAGCAUUCACUUAGUUUUUCAUAGAUAAGCUUUAAUGGGAAGAAAUAAAAAAGAUGCACUUACCGUUGGCAAUAUGGUUCCCUUGUUUUUAUAAUUUAACAUGUGUAUAUACAAUUUCUCACUAUUUGCAGUUUGAUGGUUCGUUUAUCUGCUUUAUGCUAUCCAGACCUUCUGUUGUAUCUCUGGUUAUGUCAAAUUCUGAUCAAGCAACACCGAGUCCCAUUGUAUCACAUGACAACCAUCCGAAUGGCACUUCUUGAGCAUCGAAAUAUGAAAUACGGGAUGAACACCCAAAACUGGUCAUGAUGAGAAUAGUCUUAGCUUGUAAGAUGCUUAUCCUAUCUUUAUUCCUUGGAUAUGGUUGUGAUUGUUAACAUUUUGAUCUUCUACUAGAAAUAACUCAAAUGAUGAGAAGUCAUUGAUUAUUUGAACAUCACAGUAUCUGCAGGAGUUUGAAUAUGCCUGGAAUUUCUGGUGUAACCUGAAAGUCUUCAUUCAACCUAGAAAGCUAUAUCCCAUUCGUAGAGUAGCGUCAGGUCAGGGAAAUAGAAGAACCACUACUUGAUCCUUCCAAAGUUAAGAGUAUAUGCGAGUAUGGUUGUGAUAUUGGUAGUGAACAUAAUUCAUCUUUGGUUCUAUUGCAGAUUUUCAAUUUAAAAUUUAGGGCUUAUUACUUUUCAAAGUGGAAACAGCCCCUUGCAGAAAUGCAGGGUAAGGCUGUGUACAAUAGAUCCUUGUGGUCCGUCCCUUCUCCAGACCCCACACACAGCGGGAGCUUAGUGCACCGGACCUUUAGUGUUUGGUAUGAAACUGAAAUUCCAAAUUUUCAGAGAACUCAAUUACGGCAUAUCAGACACUGGAAAGUACACGGAGUAACGAAACAAGUGAUACCACUCACUUUAUGGUUCAGGGGUAGAACUAUGAAACCCCAGAAAUUAUUCUUCAAUGCUUAAUGAAGAGCAUGUAAAUUUGAGAUGUCCAUUUGGAGUAGGAAGAGUCACCAAGGACAGAACGAGUGACAUCUUUUCCCUUUAUAUCCAUCAUUUUCAGCUUUUUAUUUUUUAUUGGAACUUGGUGAAGGACCUAUUCUGAGCUGAUUAUUAGAAUUUUUCAAAAAAGAAAUAACGCUAAUAAUUUCUAUUUAGCGUUUUAUGGGUCAUUUCAUCAAUUGUGUUAUGUUUAUUUUUUCUUUAUGUUUUGGGAUAGAUGGAUACUACCACGUUAUGCCUUUUAUUGAUCACAACUUUAUGACCAUCUAGGCUUUAUUUACAGAAGAAAUGAUCUAUGGCACUUACAGGUCAUGCUUAAC
Lycium barbarum (goji berry) is the source of this 2869-nucleotide RNA transcript. RefSeq lists it as uncharacterized. The transcript has 3 exons. NCBI's taxonomy places the organism in Eukaryota, Viridiplantae, Streptophyta, Magnoliopsida, Solanales, Solanaceae. The record is from RefSeq and is a predicted model, not a curated record.